Molecule: unclassified non-coding RNA, 333 nt
Filed under: Hevea brasiliensis (rubber tree)
Lineage: Eukaryota; Viridiplantae; Streptophyta; Magnoliopsida; Malpighiales; Euphorbiaceae
Source: RNAcentral
AGCAAUAGUGCAUAAAGAUGCCAAGAAAAACGACUUUCUCCCACAAAAGAUUAGAAGAGAAGGUAUUUUUUUGAAAAUGGAAGCAAUCUUCUACAGCAUAAAUUUGUUAAAUAAAAAACUAUAAGAAUGACCACAUUAAAACUAUGUAAACUGUGAAUGACUAACAUUGUGUCUGUGUGUGUUAAUAUAUAAAUAGUAAAAUAAAUUUGUUUAACCACCUAGAGGAUCAAAGCCAGCAUUAAAACAAUAUGAUAUAUUCAUUAUGGAUAUCUUUAGAAAUCAAAUGUUAGGGUAGAAACCCUAACUGACAAUUAUGGAAAAGAAUAGAAUAAA